Molecule: long non-coding RNA, 470 nt
Filed under: Nicotiana benthamiana
Lineage: Eukaryota; Viridiplantae; Streptophyta; Magnoliopsida; Solanales; Solanaceae
Description: long non-coding RNA (NBEN_LNC027540)
Source: RNAcentral
AGCAAUAACAGUAUUGGUUUAGAUAUGCUCUUUCCUUUCAUUAAACAAAUUCUUGUUUCUAUUUAGCCAAAUAUUCCAGAAGAAGAAUGGUAAAAGGAAGUGUCAUUGGAUGCAAUAGUUGAAUUGUUUGUCUAGCAUGGUUCCAAGAGCUAAGCAUGAAGUGUAGGGGCAUUUAUUGGUUAGUAUCACAUUAGCAUAGGUUGUUCCAAAAUAAUUUGGCAUUGACACAUAGCAAACCAAAUGUGGUUUAUGGAUUCUUCUAAGCUGUUACACACUGAACAUGAAGGGCUCACUUGGAGGCCAGUAUUGUAAAGAUACUUAUUGGUGGGCAACCUGUUGUGGGCUAGUAGCCAAGUAAAAAAUCUAAUCUUACUAGGGGCUUCUAGUUUUCACAUCCAACUGAAAGUGGUCUCCUAGUCAGAGUGUGUGUUCCAUUAGGGUUUAUGAGAGAGUAAAUUGACUUAAAGGAG